This 346-nucleotide ribosomal RNA is filed under the name uncultured fungus. RNAcentral describes it as "SSU rRNA". It matches the Rfam family "Eukaryotic small subunit ribosomal RNA", at positions 20 to 371 of the family's 1831-position model. Lineage: Eukaryota; Fungi. The record is from RNAcentral.
GUAGUCAUAUGCUUGUCUCAAAGAUUAAGCCAUGCAUGUCUAAGUAUAAGCAAUUAUACAGCGAAACUGCGAAUGGCUCAUUAUAUAAGUUAUCGUUUAUUUGAUAGUACCUUACUACUUGGAUAACCGUGGUAAUUCUAGAGCUAAUACAUGCUAAAAAUCCCGACUUCGGAAGGGAUGUAUUUAUUAGAUUAAAAACCAAUGCCCUCUGGGCUCUUUGGUGAUUCAUGAUAACUUCUCGAAUCGCACGGCCUUGCGCCGGCGAUGGUUCAUUCAAAUUUCUUCCCUAUCAACUUUCGAUGUUUGGGUAUUGGCCAAACAUGGUUGCAACGGGUAACGGGGAAUG